This 210-nucleotide ribosomal RNA is filed under the name uncultured bacterium. RNAcentral's name for it is "partial 16S ribosomal RNA". It matches the Rfam family "Bacterial small subunit ribosomal RNA", at positions 524 to 732 of the family's 1533-position model. The record is from RNAcentral.
UACGUAGGGUCCGAGCGUUUGUCCGGAAUUAUUGGGCGUAAAGGGCUCGUAGGCGGUUUGUCGCGUCUGCUGUGAAAUCCCGAGGCUCAACCUCGGGCUUGCAGUGGGUACGGGCAGACUAGAGUGCGGUAGGGGAGACUGGAAUUCCUGGUGUAGCGGUGGAAUGCGCAGAUAUCAGGAGGAACACCGAUGGCGAAGGCAGGUCUCUGG